Molecule: long non-coding RNA, 1103 nt
Organism: Camelus dromedarius (Arabian camel)
Lineage: Eukaryota; Metazoa; Chordata; Mammalia; Artiodactyla; Camelidae
Exons: 3
Source: RefSeq, a predicted model, not a curated record
GACCAGCGAUGGGAAGUACCCUUCCCCUAAGAAUCCUAGCUUGACUUUUUUCUAUAAAGAACAUUCUGCUGCAGGGGUUAAAGAACAGAGAACAGAGGCCAGAGCGAAGGACGGGACAGGUGUUUUCACACAGGAAACGCAUUAUGAAGGAGCCAGCAGAUAACAAAUCUCCAACUGAGGAAGAAUUGCUUCUGGAAACUGCAGAGCAGGAGAUAAGUGGGGAGAGCUGUGCACACACAGAAAGUCCAGGGCAGAGUGGACAUAUGAGCACAAUAGGACAGGGACAGCCGUCCUGCCACCAUCAGUCUUGUCUUGGCUCCACCGUCAGCUCCGCUUCCUGCGCUAGGUCUUGGGGGCUCUACCACCGUCGUACCUGCUACUUUUCCUCCAGACCGUAGUUGACUUUUCUAGUAGAAGGCUGGACAAUGCAUGUUUCAUUCUGGUCUCACCACGUAUCCUCCCAUGAUGGGUUGGAUGGAGUCCGCUGCUCCAGGACCAGGAUGGGAUCCUCAAGCUGGAAGCUCCCUGGCUUAGAUACUGGAGUUGGUUGCUAUACUUUUCAGAAUCACUCUGAGCACUCCCAGGCAGAGUCCAGUGUUUGCAGUCAGAAAACGAUGACAUGAUGAAAAUGCUUGCCUCUGUCUUCUGGUGCUCGUGUGGUGGCACUUCUCUAUGUUAUGAACCAACAGGUGAAGUAGAUGUGUUGAGCAGUAUUGACAUCUGCAAGUUAACAAGAGAACUGACAAACAGUUCUCUAAAUCUUGGUUGUACCAGUUUGCCUAGAACUGCCCAAGACUUCUGGUUUUCCACCACUGUUGUCAUCAUGACUGUCAUCAUAAACACUCACUGCUUCCCCUGGCGGGCACUAUUCUAAGCAUGCUACAUGUAUUCAUUCACUCGAUUCUCACACCAAUCCCAGGCAAACUCCCAUUUUGCAGAAGAGGAGACAGAGGCACACAAGGUUUGGAUGAUCUGCCUACGGCCGUGCAAUUUAUGAGCGGAGCUGGAAGUGGGUGCCGAGUACCCUGGCCUGAGCCUGUCCUGCUAGCCGUCGCUCUAGGUCGUCUCUCUCAACAGCUUGUAUUAAAACCGCUUUACAUUUU